UGGGGAAUUUUGGACAAUGGGCGAAAGCCUGAUCCAGCAAUGCCGCGUGUGUGAAGAAGGCCUUCGGGUUGUAAAGCACUUUUGUCCGGAAAGAAAUCCUUGGCUCUAAUACAGUCGGGGGAUGACGGUACCGGAAGAAUAAGCACCGGCUAACUACGUGCCAGCAGCCGCGGUAAUACGUAGGGUGCAAGCGUUAAUCGGAAUUACUGGGCGUAAAGCGUGCGCAGGCGGUUUGCUAAGACCGAUGUGAAAUCCCCGGGCUCAACCUGGGAACUGCAUUGGUGACUGGCAGGCUAGAGUAUGGCAGAGGGGGGUUAGAAUUCCACGUGUAGCAGUGAAAUGCGUAGAGAUGUGGAGGAAUACCGAUGGCGAAGGCAGCCCCCCUGGGCCAAUACUGACGCUCAUGCACGAAAGCGUGGGGAGCAAACAGGAUUAGAUACCCUGGUAGUCCACGCCCUAAACGAUGUCAACUAGUUGUUGGGGGAUUCAUUUUCCUUAGUAACGUAGCUAACGCGUGAAGUUGACCGCCUGGGGGAGUACGGUCGCAAGAUUAAAACUCAAAUGAAUUGNC
RNAcentral lists this ribosomal RNA (571 nucleotides) under uncultured bacterium. RNAcentral describes it as "partial 16S ribosomal RNA". It matches the Rfam family "Bacterial small subunit ribosomal RNA", at positions 355 to 914 of the family's 1533-position model. The record is from RNAcentral.